RNAcentral lists this long non-coding RNA (695 nucleotides) under Helianthus annuus (common sunflower). RNAcentral describes it as "sRNA HanXRQr2_Chr17g0797291". Lineage: Eukaryota; Viridiplantae; Streptophyta; Magnoliopsida; Asterales; Asteraceae. The record is from RNAcentral.
UUGUUUCGCACAUCCCUCUUCACUGUUCGACACCCUCACAAACCCUUCAUCCUCUCGACACCUACCAUUCAAGUUUCCACAUCACUUGAAAAACCCACACACCUUCACCACAUCUUUACGCUCAAACCGCAUACUCGUCGGAGAAGUCGGGUCGUCGCUGUAGAGUUACGGGCCUCGCCGGACCUGCAAGUGGCCGGACACGUAUCCACGCCGGAGUUCGCCUGAGUUCGAGACGUCGCCAAAGAACCGAACGCCGUCGGAGUUCACGUUAACUGUUCGGUUGAUAGUCAAGAUGAUGAAAAGGGUAGUUGCACGGUACCCCUGACCGCGGAAGGGAUCUCCCUUCCCAGUUCACCACCCGACAAGGAUCCCUGGCGGCAAAUACCCAUAGCCAUCAAAGAGGGGUAAGAAACAUGUUUCGAACCCGAGACCUCGAGUGUCCUCGGUCCGGCUUUAAAGCGGGUGUCGGUGGCCACCAAAGUGGCACUAAUGGGAAUUGAACUUGGGUCUCCAUUGGAGAACCCAAGUCACUCCACCACUAGGCCACUUGUGGUGGUUAAGAUGAUGAAGGAAUCAAAAUAGGAUGGACUAGAUACCCAUUUUAAUAAUAAACCAUGUAUUUGAAUUUAUGUUAUGAUGCUUUUGAGCGAUUUGUUCGUCUCAUCCCGAUGUAUCCGCCAUCGGUUGGGGUGUGA